RNAcentral lists this ribosomal RNA (496 nucleotides) under uncultured bacterium. RNAcentral describes it as "partial 16S ribosomal RNA". It matches the Rfam family "Bacterial small subunit ribosomal RNA", at positions 29 to 507 of the family's 1533-position model. The record is from RNAcentral.
AUGAACGCAGGCGGCGUGCCUAAUACAUGCAAGUCGAGCGAACAGACGAGGAGCUUGCUCCUCUGACGUUAGCGGCGGACGGGUGAGUAACACGUGGAUAACCUACCUAUAAGACUGGGAUAACUUCGGGAAACCGGAGCUAAUACCGGAUAAUAUAUUGAACCGCAUGGUUCAAUAGUGAAAGACGGUUUUGCUGUCACUUAUAGAUGGAUCCGCGCCGCAUUAGCUAGUUGGUAAGGUAACGGCUUACCAAGGCAACGAUGCGUAGCCGACCUGAGAGGGUGAUCGGCCACACUGGAACUGAGACACGGUCCAGACUCCUACGGGAGGCAGCAGUAGGGAAUCUUCCGCAAUGGGCGAAAGCCUGACGGAGCAACGCCGCGUGAGUGAUGAAGGUCUUCGGAUCGUAAAACUCUGUUAUUAGGGAAGAACAAAUGUGUAAGUAACUAUGCACGUCUUGACGGUACCUAAUCAGAAAGCCACGGCUAACUACGUG